RNAcentral lists this ribosomal RNA (428 nucleotides) under uncultured bacterium. RNAcentral describes it as "bacterial SSU rRNA". It matches the Rfam family "Bacterial small subunit ribosomal RNA", at positions 355 to 775 of the family's 1533-position model. The record is from RNAcentral.
UGGGGAAUAUUGCGCAAUGGGGGAAACCCUGACGCAGCGACGCCGCGUGAGCGAUGAAGGCCUUAGGGUUGUAAAGCUCUGUUUUAAGGGACGAAUGUUACGGGGAGUAAUAUGCCCUGUAAAUGACGGUACCUUAAGAGGAAGCCCCGGCUAACUACGUGCCAGCAGCCGCGGUAAGACGUAGGGGGCGAGCGUUGUCCGGAAUUACUGGGCGUAAAGAGCACGUAGGCGGGACUUUAAGUCAGGUGUGAAAGACCGGGGCUCAACCUCGGGGUGGCACUUGAAACGAGGGUUCUUGAGGGCAGGAGAGGAAAGUAGAACUCCUGGUGUAGCGGUGAAAUGCGUAGAAAUCAGGAGGAAUACCAGUGGCGAAGGCGACUUUCUGACUGACCCUGACGCUGAGGUGCGAAAGCGUGGGUAGCAAACAG